UACACUCACUCACUCACUCCACUGGGCUGUGAAAAAUUAUAGAUUUACUUGGGAUUUUCUAAUGAUGUUUAUACAUAAUAAGUUUAUGGCUGUCAUAGCAUAUUCUUUUAUAAUUUGUGCAGAGUUUUGAUCAAAAGAAGAAUGGAAGAUUCAGAUUAGAUGAUUUCAUAUCUCUUUGUAUAUUUUUGCAGUCAGCUCGUAAUAUGUUUGAUUCAUUUGAUACUGCUAAGCAGGGCCGGGUGACUCUUGAUCUCAACCAAUUUGUAUAUUGCAUGCUUUGAGGUUUUGGGCUUGGUCUGGGUGGCUCUGUGAUUUUUGAAUUAGGCUUGGCGGCUUUAACACUUUUGGAAUUUAGCCUUGGAAGU
This is a long non-coding RNA of Humulus lupulus (European hop), 365 nucleotides long. RefSeq lists it as uncharacterized. The transcript is spliced from 3 exons. The record is from RefSeq and is a predicted model, not a curated record. Lineage: Eukaryota; Viridiplantae; Streptophyta; Magnoliopsida; Rosales; Cannabaceae.